Molecule: ribosomal RNA, 1055 nt
Filed under: Salinibacterium sp.
Lineage: Bacteria; Bacillati; Actinomycetota; Actinomycetes; Micrococcales; Microbacteriaceae
Description: bacterial SSU rRNA
Rfam family: Bacterial small subunit ribosomal RNA
Source: RNAcentral
CGAUGAAGCAGAGCUUGCUCUGUGGAUUAGUGGCGAACGGGUGAGUAACACGUGAGUAACCUGCCCUUGACUCUGGAAUAAGCGUUGGAAACGACGUCUAAUACUGGAUACGAGCUUCAGCCGCAUGGCUAGGAGCUGGAAAGAAUUUCGGUCAAGGAUGGACUCGCGGCCUAUCAGGUAGUUGGUGAGGUAAUAGCUCACCAAGCCUACGACGGGUAGCCGGCCUGAGAGGGUGACCGGCCACACUGGAACUGAGACACGGUCCAGACUCCUACGGGAGGCAGCAGUGGGGAAUAUUGCACAAUGGGCGAAAGCCUGAUGCAGCAACGCCGCGUGAGGGACGACGGCCUUCGGGUUGUAAACCUCUUUUAGUAGGGAAGAAGCGAAAGUGACGGUACCUGCAGAAAAAGCACCGGCUAACUACGUGCCAGCAGCCGCGGUAAUACGUAGGGUGCAAGCGUUAUCCGGAAUUAUUGGGCGUAAAGAGCUCGUAGGCGGUUUGUCGCGUCUGCUGUGAAAACUGGAGGCUCAACCUCCAGCCUGCAGUGGGUACGGGCAGACUAGAGUGCGGUAGGGGAGAUUGGAAUUCCUGGUGUAGCGGUGGAAUGCGCAGAUAUCAGGAGGAACACCGAUGGCGAAGGCAGAUCUCUGGGCCGUAACUGACGCUGAGGAGCGAAAGCAUGGGGAGCGAACAGGAUUAGAUACCCUGGUAGUCCAUGCCGUAAACGUUGGGAACUAGAUGUAGGGACCAUUCCACGGUUUCUGUGUCGCAGCUAACGCAUUAAGUUCCCCGCCUGGGGAGUACGGCCGCAAGGCUAAAACUCAAAGGAAUUGACGGGGGCCCGCACAAGCGGCGGAGCAUGCGGAUUAAUUCGAUGCAACGCGAAGAACCUUACCAAGACUUGACAUAUACGAGAACGGGCUAGAAAUAGUUCACUCUUUGGACACUCGUAAACAGGUGGUGCAUGGUUGUCGUCAGCUCGUGUCGUGAGAUGUUGGGUUAAGUCCCGCAACGAGCGCAACCCUCGUUCUUUGUUGCCAGCACGUAAUGGUGG